This 853-nucleotide ribosomal RNA is filed under the name uncultured Acidobacteriota bacterium. Its description in RNAcentral is "bacterial SSU rRNA". It matches the Rfam family "Bacterial small subunit ribosomal RNA", at positions 71 to 902 of the family's 1533-position model. The record is from RNAcentral. Lineage: Bacteria; Pseudomonadati; Acidobacteriota.
AAAGUGGAGCAAUCCAUGAGUAGAGUGGCAAACGGGUGAGUAACACGUGGGUGACCUGCCUUCGAGCGGGGGAUAACGUCCCGAAAGGGACGCUAAUACCGCAUAACAUCCUGCCUUUUAAGAGGUGGAGAUCAAAGCCGGGGAUCGCAAGACCUGGCACUUGAAGAGGGGCCCGCGCCUGAUUAGCUAGUUGGUGGGGUAAUGGCCUACCAAGGCAACGAUCAGUAUCCGGCCUGAGAGGGCGGACGGACACACUGGGACUGAGACACGGCCCAGACUCCUACGGGAGGCAGCAGUGGGGAAUUGUUCGCAAUGGGGGCAAGCCUGACGACGCAACGCCGCGUGGAGGAUGAAGACCUUCGGGUCGUAAACUCCUUUCGAUCGAGACGAAUGUUUUCCGGGUGAACAAUCUGGAAAAGUGACGGUACCGAGAGAAGAAGCCCCGGCUAACUCUGUGCCAGCAGCCGCGGUAAUACAGGGGGGGCAAGCGUUGUUCGGAAUUACUGGGCGUAAAGGGCUCGUAGGUGGCCAACUAAGUCAGACGUGAAAUCCCUCAGCUUAACUGGGGAACUGCGUCUGAUACUGGAUGGCUUGAGUUUGGGAGAGGGAUGCGGAAUUCCAGGUGUAGCGGUGAAAUGCGUAGAUAUCUGGAGGAACACCGGUGGCGAAGGCGGCAUCCUGGACCAACACUGACACUGAGGAGCGAAAGCCAGGGGAGCAAACGGGAUUAGAUACCCCGGUAGUCCUGGCCCUAAACGAUGAAUGCUUGGUGUGGCGGGUAUCGAUCCCUGCCGUGCCGAAGCUAACGCAUUAAGCAUUCCGCCUGGGGAGUACGGUCGCAAGGCUGAAACUC